CUCUGAAAGGAUGCAUCCAUCGGAUGCGACGUUUGGAAAGAAUGGGAGAGAGGGAUGCGUCGGUUAGCAUAUGGCUAACCGCCUCCUAAUUACAACGUGGAGAUUAUCCACAGAAAUAAUUGUAACACUCCCUCUAAUCUACACUUGUCCGUCUAGAAUCAUCAUCUUGAUUAGAGACUCCUUCAAAAACCAUGUGGGAAAAAUAUAAGGAGUAUAGUGUUUGAUAUGUUGUCAAAACUCCUUCAAACCCAGUGGGAAAAAUAAGGAGAAAAUGUCGCAACAUAUAAUGGUUAUUGUCUCCUUUAACUCAAUAUGAGAAAACUCAUAGAAUCAAGAGAACACUAAAUAUGUCGUAUAUACUUUCCUAAAAAACCCAGUGGGGAAAACUGAAAGUGUGACAUAUGUGCUCAUGUUGAUAUUACCUCAUUAAAAACCUUCAUGAGAACCUAUAUAGUAAACUCAUUGAGGGAAAAAGAGUAUAAUAUGAUGCAUUGAACAUGAACAAUUCAGGAAGAUACUCCCCCUGAUUCUUGCAAAAUUCGAAGCCGUCACAUACCAACUCCAUGAACAUAUUUCUGGAAUGUAAAGGUUUGGUAGAGACUUCAUGAACAAAUCAGUCACAUAAUUUGAUUUGCAAGAUAUGCAAUAUAGUGAUAUUGCUUAUUGUGUAACAUGUUGGCAUCUGGGCAACACAAGAAACAUUAUCGUUGAGAUAAUAGUUGGUGGAUGUAGUCAUGAGGUCUAUUUUGAAGACUCUUCAUGAGAGGGCUACUACACAUAGUAGGAACACUAAGCUUGUCUACGAUCCGACAUAGUUGGGAUCUGAUUGAUGUAUCCAAUGAUAUCGGUGUUCACAUUUGUGUGAAACUGAAAAACGAGGACAAGAUGUUCAAUGCCUUGGAGAUAUCGAAAGAUAUUCUUGAGUACCAAUCAAUUGUGUUUGGUGGAUCCAAUGACAUUAUGGAACAUUGAGUCCCAAUAUCUCAUUUUCAUCAUCUCUUCGUCUAUAUAGAUCUUUCUCUAUGUCUAGAGAAUGAACUACCAUGAGAGUUAUGAAUGGAUAAGAUUUGUCCAUAAUGAAUUUCUCCAAUAUAUAUUGGAUAUAGACAACAUAGUAUACCAUAAUGUAUGAAUGAAGGUGCUCAAGUUGUAGUAACGAGUGGUAUUUUGGUUUACCAAAAUCCUUCAUUUUAAACUCCGUCAUUUAGAUGAUUACAUGCGUCAUCAUUGGAGACCCACAAACAUGGAUAAUCAUCAUUGUAGGAGUAAUCCUUGUGUAUAAGGAACUCACUACGUCAGUUGUACCAUAUAUACCAACAACAAUAAGUCGUAUGGUGACUUACUGAUUUUUACACAAUGUAUGUUGCAUUUUGCAUUUCGAUUCAGAAGUGAGAUUCCAUUGAGAAUCAAUCAUAUAUGUCUGAAUCUAGUGAUCCACAUGAAUAUGUGAUUACUACAUCUAUCAACUGCACAGAUAGAUGAUUUUAUACUGCCAAUGAUAUAAGUUAUCGGAAAGAGAUUCCACCUCUAGAGAAUAGUUGGGUAUCUGCGUGAACCCUUGUGCUACAAUACUUGCUCUUUGUUUCACCACCUCGUUGUUCUCAAUUCUGUUUCGAGAAGAAAACUUGUGUAGGUAUUGCUUAUGAAUACCUUUCCAUUAUUGAGCAAGAUCAUUUCUACCUAGAUUAUACCCUUUGCUUGAGUUCAGUCCGAGUGUUGUUCACACUUUGCCAUGGCCAUGGUCUUUGGAUCCGAAUCAUGUGAAAGGUUUUGCAAUCUAGUUGAAAAAUGUAUGUCGACAAUUGUAGACUUCUGGUUACAUGAUUCUCUAGAAUCUAUAUAUCAAUAUAUAGUUGAUGGAAAUACCGUUACCCAUGGUGAUUACUCGCGUUUUCCCAAUGCGAUUUUGUCGGGUAUUCCGAUCUCCUGGUCAUUGUGUGCACUAUGACCAGGGUUGGUGGAG
RNAcentral lists this long non-coding RNA (1963 nucleotides) under Hordeum vulgare. RNAcentral describes it as "long non-coding RNA (HVUL_LNC014834)". The record is from RNAcentral. Lineage: Eukaryota; Viridiplantae; Streptophyta; Magnoliopsida; Poales; Poaceae.